AGGACGAACGCUGGCGGCGUGCUUAACACAUGCAAGUCGAGCGGAAAGGCUCCUUCGGGGGUACUCGAGCGGCGAACGGGUGAGUAACACGUGAGUAAUCUGCCCUUCACUCUGGGAUAACGUUCAGAAAUGGGUGCUAAUACCGGAUGUUCUCCUGUCCCUGCAUGGGGGUGGGUGGAAAGGUUUUUCUGGUGGGGGAUGUGCUCGCGGCCUAUCAGCUUGUUGGUGGGGUAAUGGCCUACCAAGGCUUUGACGGGUAGCCGGCCUGAGAGGGUGACCGGCCACACUGGGACUGAGACACGGCCCAGACUCCUACGGGAGGCAGCAGUGGGGAAUUUUGCACAAUGGGCGAAAGCCUGAUGCAGCAACGCCGCGUGUGUGAUGAAGGUCUUCGGAUCGUAAAGCACUUUCGACCGGGACGAACACCUUUUUGGCUAACAUCCAAAAGCCUGACGGUACCGGAGAAGAAGCACCGGCUAACUCUGUGCCAGCAGCCGC
RNAcentral lists this ribosomal RNA (498 nucleotides) under uncultured bacterium. Its description in RNAcentral is "SSU rRNA". It matches the Rfam family "Bacterial small subunit ribosomal RNA", at positions 26 to 518 of the family's 1533-position model. The record is from RNAcentral.